This 520-nucleotide long non-coding RNA is filed under the name Numida meleagris (helmeted guineafowl). Its description in RNAcentral is "lncRNA (ENSNMEG00000001815.1)". The record is from RNAcentral. Lineage: Eukaryota; Metazoa; Chordata; Aves; Galliformes; Numididae.
GGUGAUGGUGGUCUUAAAUAUCAAGGUGAUCUGCAGUUCAAGGUUCUUCCUCAAGAAAUAAUUCUAAGAAGAUUUAAUAAAAUUGGAAGAAAUUACUAAGGGAGCCCACAGGGAGUCUGUGAAGUUUUUAUAAGAGGCCUGUGAAAAUUUACCUGUGAAAAUUCAGGGAGUUUUGAUUUGCUUUGUAAAGCUCUGCUCUUCUGCUGGGACAAAAGAAAAAAAAGAAAAGAAAACUAGGAGCCUGCAAAAAAAGUAUAUGUUUAUGCUGUAAAUGACUGCAUGCUAACACCUCUGUAGUCAGUUCAGGAAAGGGAUCUUUUCACAAGGUGGGAAACAGUCCAAAUUCAGCCCUAAUUCAGUCCCUUAUGGUAUACAGAACUUGGUAGAAGGAAAUAAAGGAGAACUGCAUCAGCACCCCAGGAAAAAAAAAAAAAAGAGGUUGACCCUCAGAAGAUUCUCUACAAACUGCAGGAAUUAUUUAAAAACAGGAUGCAGGAAGAGCCAUUCCAGCUUAGACUAA